AAGCUGAUUAUCUGACAGCCACUGACUGUCACAAACUUAUUGAAGUGAGUGAUGAGCACAACUCCAUCCUUUCUGUAAGAAUCACAUGGCCACAAAAGUGGAUGCUGAUGCUCGGGAUGAAUAGUGAAAAGGUUAUGUGGUUCAAAUCAGUGAUCAAAAGACAAAUAAGGGUCAUGGAGAAAGUCAUCUUGGACCACAGCAGAGUGCACCUGCUGAUGAAUAAAGAAUAUUUUUGUUGUAGACCAGUGAGAAAUGGAGAGAGGAAAGACAAGUCAGUCGGCAGUUGCAUUGUGAAUGUCAAUCUGAGUGCUUUCAGAUCUCAAGUAGGAUAUUGUAAAAAAAAAAAAAUAGAAGGAGAUGGGUAUGAUAUUCUGAGACUGGUAAAUACUAUAGUGUCUCUGUAGUUGAAAUCCAAAAUAGCUAGCAGAACUUGAAAACUUUUCAAAACCUCUAAAGAAAGUACUGUCUGAUAAUAUGUUGUCAGAUAACCCUUAAACAAAGGAGGUAAAAAAAAUCCAGAGUCAAAACACCCAAAAUUCAACAGCUUGUUAUUCCAUGUGUCCUGAAACAUAAAUGCUGACACAGGUCUCUGAAGGAAGAAAAGUACAAGAAAUUACAAGGCUAAGGCUUCACAAUAUGCUAACCUUUUGUCCUAGACAUUGAAAGAAGACAAAGAAAAACACCCAAGAGCCGAUUUCCAAGAGAAAUAGGAUGUCCUUGGCCUAGAGUUUAUACUUCUAGGUCUGAGGCCAGAGAGAAG
Molecule: long non-coding RNA, 760 nt
Filed under: Mus musculus (house mouse)
Lineage: Eukaryota; Metazoa; Chordata; Mammalia; Rodentia; Muridae
Description: long non-coding RNA chr4:39263543-39264303
Source: RNAcentral